Drosophila subobscura is the source of this 1414-nucleotide RNA transcript. It is a transcript of the gene named probable nuclear transport factor 2, with no coding region annotated. The transcript has 5 exons. NCBI's taxonomy places the organism in Eukaryota, Metazoa, Arthropoda, Insecta, Diptera, Drosophilidae. The record is from RefSeq and is a predicted model, not a curated record.
GACAACCCUACCUCUCGCUUGGCAACUGUGAUUUUUUGUGUGGUCGUUUGAAGUUUCGGAAAUAGUUUUGCUUAAUUUGUUUAUAGCUUCUAAAGUAAUUGGAACACGAUGUCACUGAAUCCCCAGUACGAAGAAAUUGGCAAGGGCUUUGUGCAGCAGUACUAUGCCCUGUUCGACGACCCGGCGAACAGAGCUAGCGUGGUCAAUUUCUACAGCGCAACAGAAUCCUUCAUGACCUUCGAGGGCCACCAAAUACAAGGAGCUCCAAAGAUAUUAGAGAAAGUCCAGAGCCUGAGUUUUCAAAAGAUUACAAGAGUGAUAACCGCUGUGGACUCGCAGCCCACCUUCGAUGGAGGAGUUAUCAUCAAUGUCCUGGGACGUCUGAAGACCGACGAGGACCAGCCGCAUGCCUACAUACAGACCUUUGUGCUGAAGCCCGUCGGCGGUAGUUUCUUUGUGCAGCACGAUAUCUUUCGGCUAUCGCUGCACGAUGUGUAGCCCCCCGGGCCGCCGUCCUUCUCCCACCACCAAGCGAGCAGUCGGGCACGGGCCAGGCCAAGUAGAAAGAGAAGCGACACUUUUGUUGAGUUUACUGCAAAGAAAUCCAAGAAUACCUCAACUUCAACCUCAACCCAGUAACCCAACUAAGACACAAAGCCCUACCACGACCACGACUCCAACUCCGUCUUCGUAUCCGUCUUCGUAUCCGUCUCCGUAUCCGAAUCUGAAUCUAACUGCGACGAUGAUCCCCCGCAUGCCUUCUCGCAGGUCUUUACGCUGAAGGCCAAUGCCAACUCGUUCUUUGUGGCCCACGACAUUUUCCGAUUAAAUAUACACGAUUCUGCAUAAGUAAUAUCCAUAAAGAUACAUAACCACACCCAAAGAUGCGGCGAAGAAACAACAACUCGACAACAACAACAACAACAAAACUACAAGAACAGCUCAAUGACGAUUAUUUUCAACACCAACAUCAAGAAAUAAGCAGAAAGCACAACAACAACAGCAGCAACAAUUCAACAACUCAACAACUAUUCAACACCAACAUCAACAUCAACAACGGCUAGCUCAAUCAAUGGAUGGGGUGGAGGUCCACGCCCAUGAACAUGCCCAUACACUUGCACAGACGCAUACGCAGCGCCUCUGCAAGUUCUCACGUUUAUCAGCUAUGAACAAAACAGAAUAAACAAAGAAAUUAAAUUCUAACUACUAUUACAAUGUAAACGAAACGCAAAUGAAAUUAGCGUGUACCGCGCUCCAUUUUCCAUGUCAAUGACUAAUUUAAAAAGCGGACAAUUUACUUUUUAUUGAGACUAAAACUCACACAAAAACAACAAUUAUUGCACUUACAUUUAAGCGAGUUUAGGGGACAAGGACGAUCAUCGUGAGUUAGAGAGUUACUAACGUGUAUGCAAAA